This 730-nucleotide ribosomal RNA is filed under the name uncultured bacterium. RNAcentral's name for it is "bacterial SSU rRNA". It matches the Rfam family "Bacterial small subunit ribosomal RNA", at positions 771 to 1501 of the family's 1533-position model. The record is from RNAcentral.
AACAGGAUUAGAUACCCUGGUAGUCCACGCCGUAAACGAUGUCGACUUGGAGGUUGUGCCCUUGAGGCGUGGCUUCCGGAGCUAACGCGUUAAGUCGACCGCCUGGGGAGUACGGCCGCAAGGUUAAAACACAAAUGAAUUGACGGGGGCCCGCACAAGCGGUGGAGCAUGUGGUUUAAUUCGAUGCAACGCGAAGAACCUUACCUGGUCUUGACAUCCACGGAAGUUUUCAGAGAUGAGAAUGUGCCUUCGGGAACCGUGAGACAGGUGCUGCAUGGCUGUCGUCAGCUCGUGUUGUGAAAUGUUGGGUUAAGUCCCGCAACGAGCGCAACCCUUAUCCUUUGUUGCCAGCGGUCCGGCCGGGAACUCAAAGGAGACUGCCAGUGAUAAACUGGAGGAAGGUGGGGAUGACGUCAAGUCAUCAUGGCCCUUACGACCAGGGCUACACACGUGCUACAAUGGCGCAUACAAAGAGAAGCGACCUCGCGAGAGCAAGCGGACCUCAUAAAGUGCGUCGUAGUCCGGAUUGGAGUCUGCAACUCGACUCCAUGAAGUCGGAAUCGCUAGUAAUCGUGGAUCAGAAUGCCACGGUGAAUACGUUCCCGGGCCUUGUACACACCGCCCGUCACACCAUGGGAGUGGGUUGCAAAAGAAGUAGGUAGCUUAACCUUCGGGAGGGCGCUUACCACUUUGUGAUUCAUGACUGGGGUGAAGUCGUAACAAGGUAACC